Molecule: unclassified non-coding RNA, 1314 nt
Filed under: Hevea brasiliensis (rubber tree)
Lineage: Eukaryota; Viridiplantae; Streptophyta; Magnoliopsida; Malpighiales; Euphorbiaceae
Source: RNAcentral
AUUCACUUUGAAAUUAAACAUUGAUCAUUACCUACUCUGCACUCCCGAGUCUCAACGAUAGGCAUUAAACAUGCCAGAAAGCAAUACUAUGGACAUUCCUUCUUCCGAUUAUCAACCUCUCAUUGUUUCUAAUCCUGAUGGAACCUAUACGCGUCUCGUGCAACUGCCAACGGUCCCUGCCUCACCUGAUCCCAACAAAUCCACCUACCCGGUCGUCACCAAGGACAUACCUGUUAAUCCCACUAACCGAACUUGGUUCCGGAUUUAUCUUCCCCGCCGUGCGCUUGAUUCUUCCUCCACCACCAACAAGCUCCCUCUCAUAGUUUACUAUCAUGGUGGUGGCUUUAUUUUCUUGAGUGCAGCUUCUAAUAUGGUACAUGAUUUUUGCUUAACAAUGUCUGAACAACUCGAUGCCAUUGUAAUCUCCGUUGAUUACCGCCUAGCUCCAGAAAACCGUCUUCCGGCAGCUUAUGAGGACGCCAUUGAAGCGCUGCACUUUAUCAGUAAUAGCGAAGAAGAUUGGUUGAGGAAAUUUACUGAUUUAUCGAGCUGUUUUUUGAUGGGCACUAGUGCAGGUGGUAAUAUUGCAUACCAGGCAGGGCUACGAGCAUGCGAGCAAGUUCACAAGUUGGAACCCUUGAAGAUCAAGGGCUUGAUACUGCACCAUCCAUAUUUUGGGGGGUUAGAGAGAACCGCGUCGGAGCUGAAAAUGGUGAAGGACCCAAUUUUGCCACUGCCUGGAAAUGACCUCAUGUGGGAAUUGUCAUUGCCAGUCGGAGCAGACCGGGAUCAUAAAUAUUCUAAUCCACUGGCUGGGCGUGGGUCAAACAUGUUUGAACUUGUUCGGGCAAUCGGAUUACGGGUUCUAGUGACGGCUUGUUAUGGGGAUCCGUUGAUUGACCGCCAGGUGGAGUUUGCCAAAAUGUUGGAGGAGAAGGGUGUAGGGACUGUGGCCCACUUUGGUGAAGGUUGCCAUAGCGUGGAGUUAAUUGACCGGUCUAAGGCUGAGUCUCUGGUUCUGGCCAUUAAAGAUUUCAUGUUUUAAUUUUUAGGAAAGAAUAUUAGGUCUCUCAUAUUUACAUGACACUCAAUUUAUUUUUUUAAGAGGAAAAGAGAAUUACUUUUAUAUGUAUCGGUAAUAUUUUAUAAUUUUUUAAUUUUUAAUAGUCUAUUUACUCUAAGAAAUUUAUGUUAAAGAGAAUAUCAUAAAUUUGUACAAAUUAAUACACCAGAAAAAUCCCAAAAAAUAAAUGGAAUCAUCCACCAAUGCAAGUCAUUAUUUGUACUAAUAUCUUUAUAAUAAGAUUGUUGUCG